GUUCAGAGCCAGGGGCUCCAGCUGUGAGGAAGGGAGUGUACAGCAAGAAGAACUGAAAAUGAGCACUCCAGCAAAGGUUCAUAGCGACACUACUCCCGAUAGCCAAAAAGGUGGAAAUCACCCAAACAGCAUCAAUGAUGAAUGAAAAGAAAACAAACUGUGGCGACUAAACAGCACUGGGGUCUAGCAGCUCAGCCUUAUUCCUGCUCCCU
Long non-coding RNA from Nycticebus coucang (slow loris), 212 nucleotides. RefSeq lists it as uncharacterized. Lineage: Eukaryota; Metazoa; Chordata; Mammalia; Primates; Lorisidae. The transcript is spliced from 3 exons. The record is from RefSeq and is a predicted model, not a curated record.